GACGAACGCUGGCGGCACGCUUAACACAUGCAAGUCGAACGAGAGAAGAGGAGCUUGCUUUUCUGAUCUAGUGGCGGACGGGUGAGUAACACGUGAGCAAUCUGCCUUUCAGAGGGGGAUACCGAUUGGAAACGAUCGUUAAUACCGCAUAAUAUAAUUGAACCGCAUGAUUUGAUUAUCAAAGAUUUAUCGCUGAAAGAUGAGCUCGCGUCUGAUUAGCUAGUUGGUAAGGUAACGGCUUACCAAGGCGACGAUCAGUAGCCGGACUGAGAGGUUGAUCGGCCACAUUGGGACUGAGACACGGCCCAGACUCCUACGGGAGGCAGCAGUGGGGAAUAUUGCACAAUGGAGGAAACUCUGAUGCAGCGAUGCCGCGUGAGGGAAGAAGGUUUUAGGAUUGUAAACCUCUGUCUUCAGGGACGAAAAAAGACGGUACCUGAGGAGGAAGCUCCGGCUAACUACGUGCCAGCAGCCGCGGUAAUACGUAGGGAGCGAGCGUUGUCCGGAAUUACUGGGUGUAAAGGGAGCGUAGGCGGGAUCGCAAGUCAGAUGUGAAAACUAUGGGCUUAACCCAUAAACUGCAUUUGAAACUGUGGUUCUUGAGUGAAGUAGAGGUAAGCGGAAUUCCUAGUGUAGCGGUGAAAUGCGUAGAUAUUAGGAGGAACAUCAGUGGCGAAGGCGGCUUACUGGGCUUUAACUGACGCUGAGGCUCGAAAGCGUGGGGAGCAAACAGGAUUAGAUACCCUGGUAGUCCACGCCGUAAACGAUGAUUACUAGGUGUGGGGGGAGUGACCCCUUCCGUGCCGCAGCAAACGCAAUAAGUAAUCCACCUGGGGAGUACGACCGCAAGGUUGAAACUCAAAGGAAUUGACGGGGGCCCGCACAAGCAGUGGAGUAUGUGGAUUAAUUUGAAGCAACGCGAAGAACCUUACCAGGUCUUGACAUCGUAUGCAUAGCUCAGAGAUGAGUGAAAUCUCUUCGGAGACAUAUAGACAGGUGGUGCAUGGUUGUCGUCAGCUCGUGUCGUGAGAUGUUGGGUUAAGUCCCGCAACGAGCGCAACCCUUACUGUUAGUUGCUACGCAAGAGCACUCUAGCAGGACUGCCGUUGACAAAACGGAGGAAGGUGGGGAUGACGUCAAAUCAUCAUGCCCCUUAUGACCUGGGCCUCACACGUACUACAAUGGCUGUCAACAGAGGGAAGCAAAGCCGCGAGGUGGAGCGAACCCCUAAAAGCAGUCUUAGUUCGGAUUGUAGGCUGCAACCCGCCUACAUGAAGUCGGAAUUGCUAGUAAUCGCAGAUCAGCAUGCUGCGGUGAAUAAGUUCCCGGGCCUUGUACU
RNAcentral lists this ribosomal RNA (1339 nucleotides) under uncultured bacterium. Its description in RNAcentral is "bacterial SSU rRNA". It matches the Rfam family "Bacterial small subunit ribosomal RNA", at positions 28 to 1387 of the family's 1533-position model. The record is from RNAcentral.